CAAAUACGGGUCCGGACGAGGAUUUGGGCCGGAUAUCCGACCCGGAUCAAAAUCCGGGUCGGUGUGUCCGUGUGGUCCGUAACGGACCAGAAAUCCAACCGACGGAGCCGCCGGAAAACUCCAUUUCCGGCGAGCUCCGUCCCUUUUUUUCACUCUUUUUCAACAUUUUAACCUCAAAUUCAAUAUUUUCUUACAUUUUAACCAUAAAAACAUGAAUUUAAUCCAUAUUCAUAUCCUAAACAUUCAAACUUUCACAAAUUCGAAGUAGUUAUUUAUAAAAAACAUGUCUAACCUUCCAGAAAAUGACGGUCUCCGACGAAUCGAGGUGGCUCUGGUCUUGGUCGAAGUUGGUGAGGUCCCGGCAGUCCGUAGGCGACGUCGACGGUCCGAGCAGAUUUUUCCUUUUUUUUUUUUUUUUUCCUCUCUAUUUUCUCUUCUCUUCUUUCCUUGAUGGGGGGUAUUUUCGACCCUACACAAAUAAUAACAUUUUCCCUCUUUUUUUUUUCUUUUUUUUUUUUUAAAACUUGGUCAAAGGCUAUUUUGAUAAACCUAUCGGGUGGGGCAGCCAUUGCCCACCAUUUCCUCGUAUUGUAUGUGUGUGUGAAAGAAAUGGGCAAUUGGGUUUUAAAUGGGCCACUAAAUCAAUUUGCAAAGAAAGUCCCACUACUUCAAUUAAACAUAACAUUUAAUACCUUAACUUUUAAUAAUAUUUAAAUAGCUUCCCAAAAUAAUUAUUAUUACAAAUUUUCCAUCUUAGACCCUCAAAAUAUUUUCAAUUUGUAAAAUAACUCCAAUAAAAUAAUUUACUUCAUUAAAGUCCUCAUUUGACUUUGACUUUGAAAAUUCAACUCUUGACUUUUAACUAGAUAAAAUGGUUUGUAACAAUUUGGUCUAUAUGUAUUCAUUUGAGCUGUGAAUAAAUCCAAAAUGGAACAGGUUUUUGAACAGUACAAAUUUAGGCUUACCAAGAUCUCCACUAAGUAUAAUUAUCAUGCCUUCAAUUUCUUCCUUUAGUGUAGAUUUCCCAAUUUUUUUUCGUUUUUCUUCUUCUGCAGUGCAAGCAGCAGGUUUCCCCAUUUUUUUUUAUUUAUCACAAGUUUGUUGGAAAAGUUCAUGUAAUAGAAAUGAAAUUUAAAUCUACACUUUGAUUUUUUGGUGUUUAUACAUUCUUGUUUGAUUUUCUAGAUUUUAGAAAAGUUCUGUAUUCCAAAUAAUAUAUGUCGAAAAAUAAAAAAUUCAAAAUAUUAUAGUUUAUAUGGGGUUUACUUUCUGUUUUUUUGGUGUUUAUACAUUCUUGUUUGAUUUUCUAGAUUUUAGAAAAGUUUCAUAUUCCAAAAAAUACACGUCAAAAAAUUAAAAAUUCAACAUGAGAUAAAGAGAUCUCUUCAUGGGAUAAAUGAUUUUUAUUUUUAUGUUUUAUUAUUUGCUAACUUGAGAUUGAAUGUAUUAACCGUCCAGUGUCAUUAGUGAUUGGUGCUAUAUCAUAAUUUGGAGACUUGGAAUGAUACAUUACCAAGUCAAGAGCUUUAUUUAAUUGAAAAAAAAAUCCAAUAAAAGAAAAUAAUAUGGACAUGUUUGAUAGUUCAAUUGGAUGGUUUUACUUCAACAACUAUCCAAAAACAUAACAUACAAAGAUAAGUUAAAACUUAACAAAGGUCAUAAAAAAUCCUCCUUUCCUUCCAAAAAAGAAACAAAAUUUAAAAAUACGUAAGACCCCAAAACCAAAAAAAAUAAAAACAACUAACUAACCUAACGAAGCUCGUAAUGGCACUUCACAUUCCGACCAUCUAAUUUGUUUGCAUAUUUCUUUUUGUUCCAGUUUCCUCGUCGAUAGAGAAGCUCCUUUUGCAGAUUUCUAAUUCUUGCACUUUCAUAUGGUCGUCAAACGAUGGAUUUGUUGUUCUUUAUGAAAAAUUUUAGGGCUUUUGUCGAGAGAGGGAGAGGAGCGUCUUUGGUUUGUUGGAAAGAUAUUUUGGGAGAGCAAACUUCAUUACAUUACCAAUGAAGUAACAGUAAAGAACCGGUUGUGGAAGGUUUCCGUCAUUUUUGAAAGCUAUCAAUUAGGAGAAAGGGAAUACAGCAAUGUUGGGUAUACGUGGGUUCUCUUUGACGGAACCCCGACCAAUACUCACAAAAAAGAUCUCAC
Molecule: long non-coding RNA, 2146 nt
Filed under: Olea europaea (common olive)
Lineage: Eukaryota; Viridiplantae; Streptophyta; Magnoliopsida; Lamiales; Oleaceae
Description: long non-coding RNA (OEUR_LNC012657)
Source: RNAcentral